UUUCUUCUCUGCUUGCCGUGCUGUUUUCACUUUUCUAUAGUCAAAAGUUGGUUUUGCCCAUUUGAUCCAUGCGUUGAUCAUCGCUGGGUUCUCUCUUUCGACUGUGUUGCUUGCUUUACCUUUCAUUUUCACUUUUCUGUUUCGCAACUCUCUCACAAAUCUCUUAUUCUAUCGCGCUCGAUCUCACCCUCCCUUGCUUUCCAACCGUGCGUUCUUUCUCUCACAACAUACCCACAAAGGAGACCCUGGUUUUUGUUGUCCUAGGAAUUUUAUUUGCGGCUUCCAUAUUCAGAGGAAGAGUUGAUCCUUGGAAACCCAGAUUUCUCAACGUUUUGUCAAAACCCUCAAAUUUGUUUCGACCGUUUUAUCUCGAUCACACAAUCGUCGGCGCAAGACUUUGAGAAUAUUGGUCUUUAUUUUCGUCUCCAACCCUGGAGUUCGGACUGGCUUUCCGAAAAUUUUUUAGUCCAAUUUGGGCACACCAUGCCUUGAAAUCACGACCAGUAAUUGAAUUCUCAAUUGGAUUCUUUUGUUUCAGAGGCUCCCCAACUCAUCUUUUAAUACAAUCGCCUACCUGAAUGGACAGUGUGUUCAUGAAUACGAAACAUGAGACGUGGUUUACUUCAUAUGGCAAAGACAGGUUAGUUUGAUUGUAAUUGCUUUUUUCGUUUGGUUGAAUUCGAAGUUGGUCAGCUUGAGGUUAGUGACAUGUCACAUGUUUACCCUCACACAUAGCUGCUAUCCUCCUGGCUGAUUUCACCUUAUGAGCUCAUCACCUUGAUUAUCCCUUAAAGUUUGGAAGACUUGAUAAUGUCAGAGAGUUUGUAUCAGCUAUUUUUCGAUAAGUAUUGCAUGUCUUUUGGCGUUACAGUUAGUUACUAGGUAUGACUCGACAUUUCCUACUUACGCAUUUGGGAGUGCCUUUUAUGUGCUAAGUUGUUUGGCUGCAACGUACCAAAAUGUGUCCUUAAAGAAGGAUGAGAAUCUUUGUUGAUUAUGAUUCUCAUUUGAAAUAGCUCUUUACGACUUGCAA
Long non-coding RNA from Pyrus x bretschneideri (Chinese white pear), 1033 nucleotides. RefSeq lists it as uncharacterized. The record is from RefSeq and is a predicted model, not a curated record. NCBI's taxonomy places the organism in Eukaryota, Viridiplantae, Streptophyta, Magnoliopsida, Rosales, Rosaceae. The transcript has 3 exons.